Molecule: long non-coding RNA, 1917 nt
Organism: Lethenteron reissneri (Far Eastern brook lamprey)
Lineage: Eukaryota; Metazoa; Chordata; Hyperoartia; Petromyzontiformes; Petromyzontidae
Source: RefSeq, a predicted model, not a curated record
GUCCGCGUGUCCCUAGGAGAGCCUCUGGCUCUACCCGUUCCAGCUGCACGCUCUCGCCCUCUCCUCCUUCGCGUCUCUCGUCGGCCCCUUUGGGGGGUUCUUUGCCAGCGGCUUCAAGCGCGCCUUCCAGAUCAAGGACUUCUCGAGCAGCAUCCCGGGCCACGGCGGCAUCGUGGACCGCCUGGACUGCCAGUACGUGGUGGGCACCUUCACCCACGUCUACAUCAGCACCUUCAUCCGGGCUCCAAACGUGAAUAAGAUUAUUCAGCAACUCCUGACGUUGAAGCCCGAGCAGCAACUGGAGAUUUUCAACCAACUCAAGGAUCAGCUUCUCAGCAGGGGUCUCAUUUGACCACCACGUGGCUCCUGGUUGAGGAGGCUAUAAACUCAACUGCAUACAAGCACCACAACCGCCACCUCCACAACUCUCCUCUUUUCUCCACGUUCCAAGGAGGAGCACCAGGGGCGAGCCCUCGUCCCAGGCCCCUCCCCGCUCAAGGACACCGUCUCAGCUGGGGUUCUGGGCCUUCUUCUCUCGCAGCGUCGAGACAUUUCUGAGUUUUGGUCGGUGAAACGAGAUGAAGAGUGAGGAGGAACCACCGGCGUUGCGAUGCUGCCUUCUGGGAGCGCGAUGCCCUGUCCUGGGUGUCCGCGUUUGUCACCCGGAGUGGCGAUGACCUCAAGGGCGGCGGUCCGUCAUGUUUUUUUAAUAUUUGUCUCACAACACAACAGAUGGUUUGUGAUUCAUAAUUAGAUAUUUUUCGGGGUGAGGCCACGAAGUGAUCUGGCCAGAUUUAUCUCGUAAGAACCUCCCCACCACACGACACGGCCAAACAAAUGAAUUGUCACGUGGUGUGCAGACGUUUCAUGACGUGCCGACGAUAGCAAACCUGUCAACCCCUUAUCAGUGCCCCUGCCUUAUUACAGACCAAUUCAGACCUUAUUGGUCACCCCGUGCCAUUUAUUAAUCUCAAGGUUCAUCCUGCAAGUCCCAUCACAAGGGAGAAACACAAACAAAUAGACAAACAAUAUGUUCUCCGUGUUGAAACGGCUGUGUGACGUAUGGACUCAAUUUCCCUGUGCAAGAAUACGGGGUAAACCGCGUGGGCUGACAGCUCUGCUAUAGUUUGUUCACCUCGCUCAGCGGCGAGGUGCGGGGGACGAGCCUCACGGCCACAUUCAGCGGUGAGAUCCGCGACGUUUCUCUCGAAGCUGCCCCGAGCAUUCUUGGGGCCUGGGUUGACGGUGGCCUGGGUUGACCCGACAAUGUGCGCGUGCGUCGCUGUGGUCAGAGCAGCUGACUCGUGAUCCGGAAGUCACGAGUUCAAGUCCCUGGCUCGGGGUCAGCAGCUGAGGAGGUGCAGUCAGUGCCGGAUGAAGUUCGCGUGGGGCCUGUAGCAUGAUGUUAUAAAGGGGCCCUAAACAAAAGAAACACAUAAAUAUUAAAACACAAUUUUUUUGUUACUGUCAUAAUAAAGUAAUUGUAUGUUUUCAUUUGCUAUACAGCCCGAUGAUACGACAAAUCGCUAACCUUACACACCCAGUCAUUAAUAAAAAUUGAAGGCAGUAUAGUACUAUAGUAAUAGAGCAAGUACAGAAUAACUAAACCGGAGUUGAUACCUUGAAAGCAUUUGGCUCGGGGCCCUUGAAAGUGCGGGGCCCGUAGCAAGUGCAGCUGCUACACGUGUAGCUACUACUACUAUACGUGCAGCUGCUACACGUGUAGCUACUACUACUAUACGUGCAGCUACUACACGUGCAGCUACUACACGUGCAGCUACUACACGUGCAGCUACUACACGUGCAGCUACUACACGUGCAGCUACUACACGUGCAGCUACUCGUGGUGCUACUACACGAGCAGCUACUACACGAGCAGCUACUACACGUGCAGCUACUACACGUGCAGCUACUACA